AAAGAGUCCCUCCCGACUGUUUACCAAAAACACAGCACUUUGCCAACUCGUAAGAGGAAGUAUAAGGUGUGACGCCUGCCCGGUGCUCGAAGGUUAAGAGGAUGCGUCAGUCGCAAGAUGAAGCGUUGAAUUGAAGCCCGAGUAAACGGCGGCCGUAACUAUAACGGUCCUAAGGUAGCGAAAUUCCUUGUCGGUUAAAUACCGACCUGCAUGAAUGGCGUAACGAGAUGGGAGCUGUCUCAACCAGAGAUUCAGUGAAAUUGUAGUGGAGGUGAAAAUUCCUCCUACCCGCGGCAAGACGGGAAGACCCCGUGGACCUUUACUACAACUUAGCACUGCUAAUGGGAAUAUCAUGCGCAGGAUAGGUGGGAGGCUUUGAAGUAAGGGCUUUGGCUCUUAUGGAGCCAUCCUUGAGAUACCACCCUUGAUGUUUCUGUUAGCUAACUGGCCUGUGUUAUCCACAGGCAGGACAAUGC
This 476-nucleotide ribosomal RNA is filed under the name Helicobacter pylori. Its description in RNAcentral is "bacterial LSU rRNA". It matches the Rfam family "Bacterial large subunit ribosomal RNA", at positions 1783 to 2257 of the family's 2925-position model. Lineage: Bacteria; Pseudomonadati; Campylobacterota; Epsilonproteobacteria; Campylobacterales; Helicobacteraceae. The record is from RNAcentral.